AAAGGAUGACACCCAUGUAAUGCUUAGUGGGUGGAUACAAUGCAUUCAUCAGGGCAUCUGUUAAAACACACACCUCAAAUAACUAAGAAAAGAAAACAAGUCAGUCUGCUCUCCCACAGGCACUCCCUGUUAUUUUUAUGCACGAACGUCAUUAUCUUUGGCAUUGUUUUUUAAAUAGUCCCAGAUUUCAUAAUCAACAUCAACUCCUCUUUCCUCAUGAGACAGUCAGAGAGAGAGGCUGAACAUAAGCAUGCAGAGCUGAUAUGACACUGACCAGUGUUUAACCUAGUCAGGUUUAAAACAGAGUUAUUCUGUUCUUCCUGGGGGGAAAAAGCUUAAUCAUUUAGAAUAGUUUUAUUUAGCUUUGAAUGAGCAGAAGUGGAUGAAAUGCCGGCUGGGAAAAGCUCGUCUCUCUGCCAGAUUUUACUGUCUGUCUGCCUCCUGUUUUCCUCUACAGAUGGGAAAAUCAUCAAAGCUGAGUCUGGACAGAAUGUGUCUCUGCCAUGUCAAACUCCAAACAUCAGCAUGCCCAUCAGAGCUGUGGAGUGGUUCAGACUUGACCUGCAGGAAGGACAUGUUCUCAUGUACCGGGGUGAGCAGUUUAUUUCAUUCAACCAGCUUCCAUCGUUUGUGAACCGGGUGGAUCUGCAGGACAGACAGAUGAAGGACGGAGACGCGUCUUUGACUCUGAAGGAUGUGACGAGUGAUGACACUGGAACAUUUCAGUGUUACGUGGUCCAGAGAGGAACAAAUGGCAGGAAAAGCAUUUUUGAGUAUAUCAGCACCGUCUACCUGAGAGUUGUUCCUCCAGGUCAGCCAGGAGGACACAGGAAAGGCAAAGGGAACGAGGAUGUAUCCUCUGGACUGGACUUUUGUUUAACAGUUAGUGUUAUACUUGUUACGCUAGCUCUUGCUUUUUUUAUGACCUUCACAAUACCCAAAACACAGGAGAAGAAGAUUUGAUCCAGACCUCAGAUGACUCGACAGGUGAACCUUAAGUCACCUACCCACUAAACAUUGGACAUGGGAUAGACGUGCAGAUCAUGUCUAUACUGGGUCCAUCAGUCCAUGACCAAUUCUGAACAUCUAUAUAUCCAAACUAGGUCCACAACUUGAAAGACCUCAUCUGGUGUUACAGAAAUGGCAGAUAAAAGUCACUCCGAGGUCACUUUGCUCAGUGGGUUGUAGAUGUCUAACACCUGAAUUUAUUUAAUAAUGUCUUUAGUGUUUCUUUAGAAACAUUAUUAAAAAGAUUUUAAAAAAUAAAUGAAUGAAACAAAGUGUUUCCUUUUCCAAGAUUGUUUAGCUGUUAAAAAGCAAUCAUUUAAAUCAAAGCUGGAUGUAGUCAAGUCUUCAUAGAGCAGCCAGUCCCAAAUGACUGCUACAAUCCACUUUCACCAAAACUUGUUUUUUUAUUUCCAGAAUUAUUUCUAUCAUUGUGUUUUCAUUUAUUAAUUUGAUGAUUAAAUUUUUUGGGAAGCACUGUGUAACACUAUAAAUGUAUGAUCACAUACAUCAUGUUGAAACAGGAUUUCUACAUGAUCUAGUCCUCACUCAUUUUGUUUCUAUACUGUACAUACAGCCUGGUAUAUAUUUCUUUGGGAGACGGUGGAAUAUGUUUGUCACUGUCAGACGUUGUGUAUUGUUGUAUGUGUUCAGAGAUAAAGAGAGUUUACAAAGUGAAUAAUAAGCAGGUUAAUCAGUGUUAGUGAAUCUGCUCAGAUAUAUUAUUGAAGCUGCAGAGCAGGAGGAUUUAGUUGUAAGUUACACUGCAUGUAAAAGGGAUCAAUAAAAGGUCAUUAUUGUGUAAAUUUAUACCUAAACAAACAAGGUAACCAGGUGGGUUUAAAGAUCUUAACCUGAGUUAACGUUGUGUUUUUAUGUGACGACAAGAUGACAGUGUGUACAUGGACAAAAAAAGAUGGUGAAAUUCUGUUUAAUAAAUAGAUGAGGAAGAGUUUGCAGACUGAACACAACUUAUGUCUCCUGCUCGUGUUUUUCUGUAUAAAACAGGCCCAUCUGAAUGCCUGCAACAGCUACAACGAGCUCUCAUGUUCCCUGUUUCUCAUGAAAACACUGCAAAAUGUCAACAUUUGGGACUUAUAGAAAAUCCCAUUCUAAUUUAUUUAACAUCCUUCUCAUUAGAGUCAGUCUAACUCUGUAAACACCCUCAUUACUAACACAACCCACAUACUCAUAAAAAAAACACUUGUCGUGAAAUCAAUCAAUGUAGAGCAGUGUCACAAACCACGGAGGCCCCAGAAAAGUGCAAUCAAACGGUGAGUUUAUUAACACCCAGGAGAAAACAUCAGCAUACGUCUUCUGACAAAAAUACAUGUUGAGAACACUUAUAAAGCAGUGAGGUACACCCCCCCCCCCCCCCCCCCACAUGGCGUAAAAAUAGGUUAAAGACGGCAGUUACAGUAAAUGGUACAUCUUAGAUGGCUAUAAACAGACAUAGAACUACUCUUUUCUAUAACACCUUCCAAACAAGGUAAUAACUUCAAGCCUUCAAGGUCUCUGAGGGCUGGUUGUCGACUCCAGUCAUCUGUUACCAAGUAGACCAAAAUGCAGUUGGAAGCUAAAUGAGUUAAGGCCUCAGGCCUGACACAUUCCUAGAUUAUCUGUGUUAUAUGUAUUGUAAGCAUGCAUCCAAUCAUCCUUCUAUGUUCUAGUUUCCCACACCAUGGAUCACGUGGACAGUCACACCAGUGAAGCUUAAAACCUUUAAUGAACCGAACAUCAACUCGAAAUAAGCACAAAUAUGCAAUGUGUACGAAAUACUCCUGGCCGUACCUGUAAUAAAAGUUAACAUAAUAAAAGGAUCCUUAAAUUAACAUCUUCAAUAAACGACUUUAAUGCAAUAUCAAUACUGUGAGAAAUAUUAUUAAAUGGAAUAAUGCUGUAAAGAAUGUUAUUAAUCCAAUUGUAAUGCUGUAGGUUAUAUGGCAGCAAUAAAAGAAUUUCUGUAUCUCCACACACUCUUGCAGAAAAGGUAUGAAAAACAUUCUGUGCUUAGGAAACAGCAGAAACGAACAGGGUCUGUGUGUGUUAACUAUAAAGUUUGGAAAUAAAGGUAGAGUAACAAACAGUUUUUCCUGUCUUCCUUAUCUGUGUGUUAUCUUUAAUUUCAAGGGAGUAGCAUGUUUAAAUGCACAUGUGUCAAACGCUACUAAAAACACAACCCCCGCGGCGGAAGUAAGAAAUACUUCUCGCUGCAGUCGGGGCACGUGUGGAAACAGACACCAUAAAAUAAUUAGAGGCACUUAUUUGUAUUUAUGUUUUGGUGCACCAUCAACCCUUGGCGUGUUUUUUGAUUAGUCUCAGAUUUCAUAAUAAAGAACUUUAAC
Molecule: long non-coding RNA, 3350 nt
Organism: Astatotilapia calliptera (eastern happy)
Lineage: Eukaryota; Metazoa; Chordata; Actinopteri; Cichliformes; Cichlidae
Source: Ensembl